RNAcentral lists this small RNA (29 nucleotides) under Bombyx mori (domestic silkworm). RNAcentral's name for it is "ovarian small RNA-17048". Lineage: Eukaryota; Metazoa; Arthropoda; Insecta; Lepidoptera; Bombycidae. The record is from RNAcentral.
GCGUUUUGCCUAUACACUACCGUUACCGG